This is a long non-coding RNA of Gallus gallus (chicken), 2620 nucleotides long. RefSeq lists it as uncharacterized. NCBI's taxonomy places the organism in Eukaryota, Metazoa, Chordata, Aves, Galliformes, Phasianidae. The record is from RefSeq and is a predicted model, not a curated record. The transcript has 3 exons.
GGCAGAGGAACGCAGGGCUGAGUCACGGCCGCAUCGUGCCAGCACUGCCUGCCCGCUGCCUGCAGUGCCUGGGAGAGUUCUCCGUGUUUCUCUCUCUUCCCUUUCUGCACAGGAAUCGUUACUCACUCUGCACACAAUGCCAGGGUAUUCUAUGUCUCUGUGAUGGCAGCAGAGUGCAGCCCUAGGGCUUGACCCCAGCCUCAGCCUUUGCUUGGGGACAGUUAGCAUGGAGACAGCACCUGCCUGCAUAGCCUGAGCUUGCUUGGAGGGAAGUCAAUGGUAACGGCCUUCUCUAUGAAAGGAACACUAAGUUUACCUGUGAAGGAGGUAUUCCCACCUACGCCAAAUGCAUGACUGGAGAGAAUUUCAAGGCGUGGGCAUAGAUGCAUGUAACAGAGACUUGAUUUAAAUAAAAAUUGAGUCCAAAUUACUCAUCUGCUUUAAGGACUUUAGUUGUACACAUGUGAACGUCACUGCCCAGCAUGGUUCAUCACAGCUUCCCCUGCUUUUAACACCAUACAGGUCACACUGAAACCCAGUGAUAUCACUGUUCCAAAAUCCCCUUUAUCCUCAUGGUGAAUAUGAACACAGUGUUUUAAACACCUUUGUUAAUCCCUGCUGGAGAAUAACAAAUCAUUCGUUUGAUUAAACUUUAUCUCUCAGACUUGGACAGACAUGGCUGCAACAUGAAAUGCCCCAAGUGAUAAGAGAGCUGAGCGGAGCAGGUCACACUAACUCUGUGUUGAAACACAGAUUUAGAUGUUAUACUGAUCUUCAGGUGAAGGCUGAGUUAUUGGAAGUGAUGCAGGCCCUACUUCUCUGAUUGGCACAAGGACUGAUAAACAUUUCAGGUAGCCCAGGAAGAGUUGAUGAGCCCAGCUGGAAGUUUUGGCUGAUCCCUAGGAAAGGCUCAGCAGCACCAACACGAGCUCUGGAAAACAAUCCCCUUCUCCCAAGACAAUAUCUGGGAUAUGGAAAUAAAUAAAUGGAACCCUGCCUUAUAUUUCCUUAGAAAACAGGGUUAGAGAGCUCAAGGAUCCUCUGUGGGGACCUGAGCUUCCCCCAGCACUGCAGUGCUGGAGCUGGAUGAGCCCCACCAUCUUUAAUCAGAUCACUGGAAAUAUACAGAUGCUGAUCCGAACCCAAAUGGAAAUCUUACAUUAGGACAGAAUAUGGUGUAGGUGUUUUGGAAGCGUGGAUGUGUUCAGUGAAACACUCUCCCUCUGCGGAUGCUAACCUCGCUCGGACUUGUUUGUUCUGCAGCACCUUCCUUGCUCUGUAUGGUUACAAUUUAGCUUGCAUUUUUUUUAACCUAAAAAAAAAAAAAAGAAAAGGGGUAAAGUGAGAAAACAGAGGGUGGGGGGGAGAGUGAAAAAAAAAAAAAAAGAGAUUUUUAAAUCAACUGUCAUUUCUGGCAAGGCUGAGGAUCCCGGCAAGGUAUUUGUUUAUUAUCAGGUAUUUCCUCAGGAUCAAAUCCAGAGGAGAGAAGUCUGGUACUAGUUAAAGUCUGUUUAAAAUCCUUCUUGAAAAGAGAUUUAUGCGAGGAAAUUACCUAACCUCAGGACAGAGGCUUAGUCAGAGGCAGCGUGGUUCAGCCGCUCGCAGUGCGCGGCUUUUUUUAGCCCCACUGAAGGCACCCAGUGAGAACAGCGGCAGAUUUUCGCUCACAUAACGGGAUCAAAGCUCCCAAUUGUUUCGAAGGAAAUGACCCAGCGGGAGGAGCGUGGUGGGCACUGCUGUUUGCUCCCAGCCUCCAAACGGCUCUGCGGAUGGAUCUGGGCACGCGGGGUAUCUUGCGUGGUGGUCUCACUGCUGGUUCCCUUCUUUGGUGGGACAGCAUCCCCCCAAAUCCCCUUUAUUCCAGCUGAGGCUGUAUAAAGAAGCCCACGCCUCUGGUCCUUGGCCACUUUUCUCUUUGUAAUAGGAAGGUGACACGCAGCACUGAUGCAGUGGCAGGAGGGGACAGCAGGAGGGCAGCCCCAGUGGGCCCCAAGCGGCCACUGUGAGGGUGCUGGGGAGUGAAUGUGCAUGGGUGAAGCAGUGGAUUUAAGAUACAGGGGAAGGGAAACGUGAUCCAUCUCAGCAAACAGCAGCAGAGGGUGUGUGUAAUGACCAAGACAGGCACUGAAUUUAAAGCACAAAGGAUGGAAAAACCUAUUAGUUCAUCCCUGCCACUUCCCUGCCAGCAGCAGUCGGAUGCAUUUCAUUGUCUCAGUGAUGGGACUUCCACUGUUUCUUUGGGAAAAAAGUUCCCAUCCGCAGCCUACUUCAGGGAUGCUUCACCCCACGGUCAGGACAAGCCACUGCAAAGCACGUGGUCAGGGUUGAGACGAGGUUUUGAAGGCAAAACACCGACUGAGCAGGUUGAUGUAUUAUUUUUCAAGGUCACCACUAAAAUAUCUGGCAGGCUUAUCCCCCGUCUGGGAAAUUUUACUGUACUUGCAGAAAACAACCAAUAUUUUUUAUUCUGGUGCCCAACUCUUAGCUGUCUGUGUUGGUUUAACUUCACUGACCCUAAAACACAAACCUAGAGUAGUGCAGUGUUGAACCAGUUCCCUAUAUGGAUAUGAAUUAUGUGUGUAAUACUGUAAAUUAUUGUGAAACAAACAUCCAGCAAGCA